Molecule: unclassified non-coding RNA, 253 nt
Filed under: uncultured Lysobacterales bacterium
Lineage: Bacteria; Pseudomonadati; Pseudomonadota; Gammaproteobacteria; Lysobacterales
Description: uncultured Xanthomonadales bacterium contains 16S-23S intergenic spacer region
Rfam family: Bacterial small subunit ribosomal RNA
Source: RNAcentral
UACGGAGGGUGCGAGCGUUAAUCGGAAUUACUGGGCGUAAAGCGUGCGUAGGCGGUUUGUUAAGUCCGUUGUGAAAGCCCUGGGCUCAACCUGGGAACUGCAGUGGAUACUGGCAAGCUAGAGUGCGGUAGAGGAGGGUGGAAUUCCCGGUGUAGCGGUGAAAUGCGUAGAGAUCGGGAGGAACAUCGAUGGCGAAGGCAGCCCUCUGGACCAGCACUGACGCUGAGGCACGAAAGCGUGGGGAGCAAACAGG